UACGAAGGGGGCUAGCGUUGCUCGGAAUCACUGGGCGUAAAGCGCACGUAGGCGGCUUGUUAAGUCAGGGGUGAAAUCCUGGAGCUCAACUCCAGAACUGCCUUUGAUACUGGCGAGCUUGAGUCCGGGAGAGGUGAGUGGAACUGCGAGUGUAGAGGUGAAAUUCGUAGAUAUUCGCAAGAACACCAGUGGCGAAGGCGGCUCACUGGCCCGAUACUGACGCUGAGGCGCGAAAGCGUGGGGAGCAAACAGG
RNAcentral lists this ribosomal RNA (253 nucleotides) under uncultured bacterium. Its description in RNAcentral is "partial 16S ribosomal RNA". It matches the Rfam family "Bacterial small subunit ribosomal RNA", at positions 524 to 776 of the family's 1533-position model. The record is from RNAcentral.